CAGUAACGGCGAGUGAAGCGGCAACAGCUCAAAUUUGAAAUCUGGCUCCUUCGGGGUCCGAAUUGUAAUUUGUAGAGAGUGCUUCGGGCGAGACCUCGGUCUAAGUCCAUUGGAACAUGGUGUCAUAGAGGGUGAGAAUCCCGUAUGCGACCGUGGCUCGAGCCCAUGUGAAGCCUCUUCGACGAGUCGAGUUGUUUGGGAAUGCAGCUCAAAACGGGUGGUAAAUUUCAUCUAAAGCUAAAUACUGGCUGGAGACCGAUAGCGCACAAGUAGAGUGAUCGAAAGAUGAAAAGCACUUUGGAAAGAGAGUCAAACAGUACGUGAAAUUGUUGAAAGGGAAGCGCUUGCAACCAGACCUGCCCGUAGGCGAUCAGCCGCUGUUCUCAGCGGUGCACUCGCUCUGCGAUCAGGCCAGCAUCGGUUUCGGCGGUCGGAUAAAGGCCUUGGGAAUGUAGCUUCCCUUCGGGGAAGUCUUAUAGCCCUCGGUGCAAUGCGGCCAGCCGGGACCGAGGACCGCGCUUCGGCUAGGAUGCUGGCGUAAUGGUUGUAAGCGACCCGUCUUGAAACACGGACCAAGGAGUCUAACGUCUAUGCGAGUGUUUGGGUGUCAAACCCAUACGCGGAAUGAAAGUGAACGGAGGUGAGAACCCUUAAGGGCGCAUCAUCGACCGAUCCAGAUGUCUUCGGAUGGAUUUGAGUAUGAGCAUAGCUGUUGGGACCCGAAAGAUGGUGAACUAUGCCUGAAUAGGGUGAAGCCAGAGGAAACUCUGGUGGAGGCUCGCAGCGGUUCUGACGUGCAAAUCGAUCGUCAAAUUUGGGUAUAGGGGCGAAAGACUAAUC
Molecule: ribosomal RNA, 840 nt
Filed under: Xanthoparmelia wyomingica
Lineage: Eukaryota; Fungi; Ascomycota; Lecanoromycetes; Lecanorales; Parmeliaceae
Description: eukaryotic LSU rRNA
Rfam family: Eukaryotic large subunit ribosomal RNA
Source: RNAcentral